AAGGUGGGGCUGAUGACUGGGGUGAAGUCGUAACAAGGUAUCCGUACCGGAAGGUGCGGAUGGAUCACCUCCUAACAGGGAGACAACACAAUGAUUUUGAUGCCUGAGUACUUUUAUUCUUAGGCCGAAAUCCUGUCACCUUAGGUCGAUCGGUACCUCAGCUUUGAAGUCAAGGAUCAGCAGCAAUGUUGAUUGCUUGAUGGAGAUUUUUAGUUCCUAAACUUUGUCUAGGUCACACCCCAAAAGGGAUGAGACUCCUGGGCCAUUAGCUCAGGUGGUUAGAGCGCACCCCUGAUAAGGGUGAGGUCCCUGGUUCAAGUCCAGGAUGGCCCAUUCGGUGUUGGGGGUUUAGCUCAGUUGGUAGAGCGCCUGCUUUGCAAGCAGGAUGUCAGGAGUUCGAGUCUCCUAACCUCCACUGACCGAACUUGAUUCCCAUCUCCAAUUUUUUGGAGUUGAGCUCGAUUGGAGUGUGAUUUAGAUGUGUCCGCUGGAUGAUCCCAGCUUCCUGUCAUUCCAAGUUUUAGAUUUUAAGUCUUAAAUUUGGUUGAUAAGAUGCUGGGCUCGGAUCAAAUAAUCAAGCAAUUGAUGAUUUGAUUUGAAGUUCUAGCAGAACCUUGACAACUGCAUAGGUGAAGUCUGGAAAAACAAAGCAUCUUACAGAUGCAUUGUUUUGAAUCUGAUCUUCUGAAAGGGAGAUUGGAUCUAGAACAAUGAAAAUUCUUUUGAGCAAGAGCCGAGACUCUUAAAUGUUCUUUGAUUCGUGUCGAGCGAAUCAGAGUUUGAUCUUGUUUUUAGCAAUAAAAACUUGAGAAUCUGCUUUCAACGGCGGUAAGCGUUUAAGAGGUUAAUUGGUCAAGCUACAAAGGGCUCACGGC
Molecule: unclassified non-coding RNA, 875 nt
Filed under: uncultured Synechococcus sp.
Lineage: Bacteria; Bacillati; Cyanobacteriota; Cyanophyceae; Synechococcales; Synechococcaceae
Description: partial may contain 16S ribosomal RNA, 16S-23S ribosomal RNA intergenic spacer, and 23S ribosomal RNA
Rfam family: tRNA (bases 343-415)
Source: RNAcentral